Mus pahari (shrew mouse) is the source of this 490-nucleotide RNA transcript. It is a transcript of the gene named histone H3.3-like, with no coding region annotated. NCBI's taxonomy places the organism in Eukaryota, Metazoa, Chordata, Mammalia, Rodentia, Muridae. The transcript has a single exon. The record is from RefSeq and is a predicted model, not a curated record.
UCUUCCCGUUCCGCUUGGCGAUUGCGGCUCUUGUUCGAGCGCUUCCAGCGCCGCUUCGGUCCCAGCAAGGGCCCCAGAUUCGGCUUUGGGUGAAAGAAGAUGGCCCGAACCAAGCAGACCGCUAGGAAGUCCACCGGUGGGAAAGCCCCCCCCCCCCCGCCCCCGCAAACAGCUGGCCACCAAGGCGGCUCGGAAAAGCGCGCCCUCUACCGGCGGGGUGAAGAAGCCUCACCGCUACAGGCCAGGGACCGUGGCUCUGAGAGAGAUCCGUCGUUACCAGAAAUCGACUGAGCUGCUCAUCUGGAAGCUGCCAUUCCAGAGGUUGGUGAGGGAGAUCGCCCAGGAUUUCAAAACCGACUUGAGGUUUCAAAGUGCAGCCAUCGGUGCCCUUCAGGAGGCUAGUGAAGCAUACCUGGUGGGGUUGUUUGAAGAUACCAAUCUGUGUGCCAUCCACGCCAAGAGAGUCACCAUCAUGCCCAAAGACAUCCAG